RNAcentral lists this ribosomal RNA (308 nucleotides) under uncultured prokaryote. RNAcentral describes it as "bacterial SSU rRNA". It matches the Rfam family "Bacterial small subunit ribosomal RNA", at positions 26 to 352 of the family's 1533-position model. The record is from RNAcentral.
AGAUUGAACGCUGGCGGCAUGCUUUACACAUGCAAGUCGAACGGCAGCACGGGGGCAACCCUGGUGGCGAGUGGCGAACGGGUGAGUAAUGCAUCGGAACGUAUCCUUGAGUGGGGGAUAACGCAGCGAAAGUUGUGCUAAUACCGCAUAAGCUCUGGGGAGGAAAGCGGGGGACCGAAAGGCCUCGCGCUGAAGGAGCGGCCGAUGUCCGAUUAAUGGCGCACCAAGGCGACGAUGGGUAGCCGGCCUGAGAGGGUGAACGGCCACACUGGGACUGAGACACGGCCCAGACUCCUACGGGAGGCAGC